RNAcentral lists this ribosomal RNA (565 nucleotides) under Polyozellus multiplex. RNAcentral's name for it is "eukaryotic LSU rRNA". The stretch from base 148 to 301 matches the Rfam family "5.8S ribosomal RNA". Lineage: Eukaryota; Fungi; Basidiomycota; Agaricomycetes; Thelephorales; Thelephoraceae. The record is from RNAcentral.
CCUCUCACCCCCCUGUGCACUAUCUGUAGCUUGGGAUGAUCACAAAGUUGGAAACAGCUUUGAAAGCCCGUGCGAUGAAUUUUUAUAUACACCAUACAAAAAAGUUAUAGAAUGUAUUAUAUAGCGUGUAAUAGCGCGAAGAAAUACAACUUUCAGCAACGGAUCUCUUGGCUCUCGCAUCGAUGAAGAACGCAGCGAAAUGCGAUAAGUAAUGKGAAUUGCAGAAUUCAGUGAAUCAUCGAAUUUUUGAACGCACCUUGCGCUUCUUGGUAUUCCCAGGAGCAUGCCUGAUUGAGUGUCAUGAAAUCUUCAACUGCUUCAGCUCUCGUAGCUGUAAGUGAAGUUGGAAUUUGGAGGAUAAUUGCUGGCGUAACUUAGGUUGCUUGUUGGCUCCUCUUAAAUAAAUGAGCUUUCCGGUAGAUCAUGGUGAAGUAACACUGAUAUGAUAACAUAUCUAUAUUGGAUGUGAAAAGCCUUGAGUAGAGUGAGAGAGGGGGGGACUCUCUCUGUUCUCCUACAGGAAAGGUAGUUGGGAGAAAAUAUAAUAAAUUUGACCUCAAAUCAG